RNAcentral lists this ribosomal RNA (815 nucleotides) under uncultured Bacillota bacterium. Its description in RNAcentral is "bacterial SSU rRNA". It matches the Rfam family "Bacterial small subunit ribosomal RNA", at positions 58 to 905 of the family's 1533-position model. Lineage: Bacteria; Bacillati; Bacillota. The record is from RNAcentral.
CAAGUCGAACGAGAAAGUGGAGCAAUCCAUGUGUACAGUGGCGUACGGGUGAGUAACACGUGGGUAAUCUACCUUUUAGUGUGGAAUAACCCUGGGAAACCGGGGCUAAUACCGCAUAAGCUCGAGAGAGGAAAGUCGCAAGACGCUGAAAGAGGAGCCCGCGGCCGAUUAGCUAGUUGGCAGGGUAAGAGCCUACCAAGGCAGAGAUCGGUAGCCGGCCUGAGAGGGCACACGGCCACACUGGCACUGAAACACGGGCCAGACUCCUACGGGAGGCAGCAGUGGGGAAUCUUGCACAAUGGGGGAAACCCUGAUGCAGCGACGCCGCGUGAGCGAUGAAGCCCUUCGGGGUGUAAAGCUCUUUCGGCAGGGAAGAUUAUGACGGUACCUGCAGAAGCAGCUGCGGCUAACUACGUGCCAGCAGCCGCGGUAAUACGUAGGCAGCGAGCGUUGUUCGGAGUUACUGGGCGUAAAGGGUGUGUAGGCGGUUGUUUAAGUUUGGNUGUGAAAUCUCCCGGCUCAACUGGGAGGGUGCGCCGAAUACUGAAUGACUAGAGUGCGGGAGAGGAAAGUGGAAUUCCUGGUGUAGCGGUGAAAUGCGUAGAUAUCAGGAGGAACACCGGUGGUGUAGACGGCUUUCUGGACCGUAACUGACGCUGAAACACGAAAGCGUGGGUAGCAAACAGGAUUAGAUACCCUGGUAGUCCACGCCCUAAACGAUGCAUAUUUGGUGUGGGCAGUUCAUUCUGUCCGUGCCGGAGCUAACGCGUUAAAUAUGCCGCCUGGGGAGUACAGUCGCAAGGCUGAAACUCAAA